CUGAGCCGUAUGAGGUAGGAAACUCUCAAGUACGGUUCUAAGGGAACGAAUUGAUCCACCUAUCCUGAC
Amborella trichopoda is the source of this 69-nucleotide non-coding RNA. Lineage: Eukaryota; Viridiplantae; Streptophyta; Magnoliopsida; Amborellales; Amborellaceae. The record is from Rfam.